AGAGUUUGAUCCUGGCUCAGAUUGAACGCUGGCGGCAUGCUUUACACAUGCAAGUCGAACGGCAGCAUGGGUGCUUGCACCUGAUGGCGAGUGGCGGACGGGUGAGUAAUGCAUCGGGACGUGUCUGUAAGAGGGGGAUAACUGUUCGAAGGAACAGCUAAUACCGCAUAAUAUCCGAGGAAGAAAGCUGGGGACCUUAGGGCCUGGCGCUUACAGGGCGACCGAUGUCUGAUUAGCUAGUUGGUAGGGUAAAAGCCUACCAAGGCGACGAUCAGUAGCUGGUCUGAGAGGACGACCAGCCACACUGGGACUGAGAAACGGCCCAGACUCCUACGGGAGGCAGCAGUGGGGAAUUUUGGACAAUGGGGGCAACCCUGAUCCAGCAAUGCCGCGUGUCUGAAGAAGGCCUUCGGGUUGUAAAGGACUUUUGUUGGGGAGCAAGGUGCACAGGUUAAGAGCUAGUGUACUUGAGAGUACCCAAAGAAUAAGGACCGGCUAACUACGUGCCAGCAGCCGCGGUAAUACGUAGGGUCCAAGCGUUAAUCGGAAUUACUGGGCGUAAAGAGUGCGCAGGCGGCUUUGUAAGCUUGAUGUGAAAUCCCCGGGCUCAACCUGGGAACUGCAUUGAGGACUGCAAGGCUAGAGUGUAGCAGAGGGGGGUAGAAUUCCACGUGUAGCGGUGAAAUGCGUAGA
RNAcentral lists this ribosomal RNA (693 nucleotides) under uncultured bacterium. RNAcentral describes it as "bacterial SSU rRNA". It matches the Rfam family "Bacterial small subunit ribosomal RNA", at positions 8 to 694 of the family's 1533-position model. The record is from RNAcentral.